Molecule: ribosomal RNA, 254 nt
Filed under: uncultured bacterium
Lineage: Bacteria
Description: partial 16S ribosomal RNA
Rfam family: Bacterial small subunit ribosomal RNA
Source: RNAcentral
UACGGAGGGUGCGAGCGUUGUCCGGAAUCAUUGGGCGUAAAGGGCGCGUAGGUGGCGGCUUAAGCGUGCGGUGAAAGCUCGGGGCUCAACCCCGAGUCGGCCGUGCGAACUGAGUCGCUUGAGCACUGUAGAGGCAGGCGGAAUUCCGGGUGUAGCGGUGGAAUGCGUAGAGAUCCGGAAGAACACCGGUGGCGAAGGGCGGCCUGCUGGGCAGUAGCUGACACUGAGGCGCGACAGCGUGGGGAGCAAACAGG